CUGAGGGUCUAUGCUUGUGACAAGAAUAUUAUGAUCUGAGGAAACAUGUUUUCCAGAGCACACACCAAUGACAGUUGUUGCUGAGUACUUUGGCCCAGUAUGAAGGAAGUUCCUUCUAUGCCAUGGGAACAGGAAAGAGGUGUCUGCACCUACCAAGAGCAAGUCAAUUUUGAAUGAACACAAGUGAAGACUGGGUAAAGGCAUGUGUAUUAGUUUAAACUGUACAAUGUCCGGGCACUGUGGUCUUGCUAAGUCCCUGCACCUUAACUCAAGAAUUACAGAAGUAAAG
Molecule: long non-coding RNA, 289 nt
Organism: Caretta caretta (loggerhead turtle)
Lineage: Eukaryota; Metazoa; Chordata; Testudines; Cheloniidae
Source: RefSeq, a predicted model, not a curated record